AAUAGAAUAUUAGGGUAUAAUUUAUUUAAAUUUCUAUUUUCAAAAGCAUUUUUAAACUUAGUAAAGGUGAUUGAAAGUUAUUAUAUUUACACCCCAGAAAAGUACUGUGAAGGAAUAAAAAAUAAGUUAUAUAAAAGAAAAAAUUAAAUUUUGUACCUUUUGCAUCAUGGUUUAACUAGAUACUUAUUUUAAAUUUAAAUUUCUCGAAAUCUAGUGAGUUAUCUUUAUCCAAUCUGUUAGGACAAUAGAGUAGUUGUGGCAAAAACUUUCUUAGAGGUAAAGAUGGAAAUGAAAUUUUAUUCGCACUAGAUGAUAGCUAGUUCUUCUAAAAGGCAUAUAAGUGCUUUAGACUAAUCUCUAUUUUACCAUAAUACGUAAAAUAAGCUUUAGUAUAGUUAAGUUCUGGAGGAUAAGCUCGGGAACUGAAUUCUAAUUUGCACAGUAUUUUUACUAAAAUUUAAGCUUGAAAAUAGCUAUAAUUCUGAUUUUGUUACAAUUUCAUUAAAUAGUUAAAAAAAUAAUUAAUUUGCUUAUUGAUAAAUGAAGAAAACUUAAUAACUAAAGUAAGCUGAAUCUAUGUUAAAAUGAGUAUUAAAAAUUUUAUAACUUUUUAGUAUAUAUAACUAAAAACAAGUAUUUAUAUGUAAAACUUAAAUUAUAAUAAGGAACUCGGCAAAAUAAUGUUCUGCCUGUUUAGCAAAAACAUGGCUCUCUGUGAAAAAAAAAUAGCGAGUCGGACCUGCCCAGUGAAUUUUUUUAACGGCCGCGGUACUCUGACCGUGCAAAGGUAGCAUAAUCAUUUGCCUUAUAAUUGAAGGCUAGUAUGAAUGGUUUGACAAGAAUGUAGCUGUCUCAUUAUAAUUGAAUAGAAUUUUAUCUACAGGUGAAGAAGCCUGUUUAACAUUAAAAGACAAGAAGACCCUAUCGAGCUUUAAAGAAAUUAAUAGACUAUAAUCUAUAUCACUAAAAGAUUAGCUAUUAAAAAUUUUAGUUGGGGCGACCUGGGAACAUAAAAAGCUUCCUUUUUCACACAAAUUAACAGGUGUCGAUCCAAAAUUUUUGAUUAAAGAAAUUAGUUACCGUAGGGAUAACAGCAUUAUCUUUUUUGAGAGUUCAUAUCGAAAAAAGGGUUUGUGACCUCGAUGUUGGACCAGAAUAUCCUAAAGAUGCAGCAGUCUUUAAGGGUUGGUCUGUUCGACCAUUAAAAUUCUACGUGAUCUGAGUUCAGACCGGCGUAAGCUAGGUCAGUUUAUAUCUUUAAUUUUUUAAGUAGAUUUAGUACGAAAGGACCAAUUUACUGUAUUUUUUUACUAUAAAAUGAUAUAAUAUAAUAUAUAAUUUAAAUU
RNAcentral lists this ribosomal RNA (1346 nucleotides) under Japeuthria ferrea. Its description in RNAcentral is "16S ribosomal RNA". It matches the Rfam family "Bacterial large subunit ribosomal RNA". The record is from RNAcentral. Lineage: Eukaryota; Metazoa; Mollusca; Gastropoda; Neogastropoda; Buccinidae.